Felis catus (domestic cat) is the source of this 10645-nucleotide long non-coding RNA. RefSeq lists it as uncharacterized. Lineage: Eukaryota; Metazoa; Chordata; Mammalia; Carnivora; Felidae. The record is from RefSeq and is a predicted model, not a curated record. The transcript has 3 exons.
UUUUGGGAUGAGCACUGGGUGUUGUAUGGAAACCAAUUUGACAAUAAACUUCAUAUAUUGAAAAAAAAUAAAAAUAAAAAAAUAAAACUGCCUCGUAUUGUCCAGACUCCAUGGGAUCCAGGGCAGCACUAGACUAUUCCCAGUAUCGCCUUUAGCCCUGGCAAAUCAUCUCUCUUUUAGCUUCAAGCAAAACCCCCUUCCGUUUUGGACACUGCGUUCUGUCCAUACUACCAUCUAACCUUAUUCUGGCUGUCAUCCAAACUCCAAAUGUGUUGAGGGUUUGGCAUCUGGAUCACAGUCUUCCAAGUCAUGCCAUGAUCCUGGGUGACUAUAGUAUCUACAUAGAUGAAAAAUUCAACAUUUUAGUCUUAAAUCUUCUUGAACUUCCCUUAAAUCUUCUUCAGCUACCUGAAUGGCUGCCUGCUGGGCUCUGAAAUCUUUAACAUUGUCUUUACCCCUAACCUUCAGUCACCCAAACCUGACACACUGCUUCAUAUUUCUCUUCCCUGUACUUUCCUAUUCUCUUAAUUCAGUUCUUCCCUGCAGUCUAAACAUGACAAAAUCCUUUCUAUAUAAAAAACAGCUUCAUCCCUGAUCACAAGUCAACCUCUAGCUGUCUUUUAAUGUCUCUUAUUCCCUUCUGAGUCGAAUGCCUCAUAAGAAUUAUCUUAAAGAUUUUUUUUUUGUUGUUGUUAAUUUGAGUAUGGUUCACAGGCAUGUUACAUCAGUUUCAGGUGUACGACAUAGUGAUUUAACAUCUCUACAGGUUGCUGUGUUCACCACAAGUGUAGCUACCAUCUGUUAGUAUACAAUGUCAUUACAAUUUCAUCAACUAUAUUCCCUGUAGCCGUGCCUUUUAUUUCUGUGACUUGUUCAUUCUAUAACUGGAGGAUUAUCCUUAUUUUCUGCUUUGACUCAUUCUUUGGGAGUCAGGCAACUGAUUCCACCAAGUCAAUGAAAUUGCCAUUUCUGGCCAUCAUCUAAUUAUCCAAUCCAAUGGACUGCUUUCAGACUUCAUUAUAGUUAAUCUCUCUGCAGCAUUUGACUCUCUGUGGUCAGUUUUUCUUCCUUGGAUUUUCUGGCACAGUUCUCUCAGGGUCAUUUCAUGAUUUCUUUCCAGUCUCCUUUGCCAAUUCCUCCUAUUUCCACCCUAAAAUGUGAAUGAUUCAUUUUCCUCUUCUUUUUGUGUGCUCUUUGCAUGUCUCAUUCUCUUCUCUGACUCCCAUCUAUAGGCUGAGGAUUCAUGAAUUCUAAAGGGAAGUGAAUGAAUAAAUAAUUACUUUCUAAACAAUACAUAUUGUCUCAGGAAUGAUUUAAAACUGCUAAUAAGGAUACAGGAAAAUCCAACUGAGAAGCAAAAAAUAAGUAGGAGACAAAAGGAACAAAUUGAAAUAAGGGAGAAAACAAAAUGUCACCCAGGAGGAAUGAGGCUAAAUAUGCUAUAAGUCCCAAAUUUAGUCUUAAGCUUUUCAGAAACCAGUGAGAAGAGGGUGAAAUCUCAUUAUGGUUAUGCAAUCCAAAAUGCCUGUAAGAUAGCAGUUGUUUAGAAAUCCAACCAUUGGUGCCACUGGGUGGAAAGCUCUCAGGGGUGGAUGAGGAGGCCUCCAAAGGACAUGAAUCAAAUCUUCAAUGUCAUUAUUCCAAAAGAUAAACUCAUAAGUUCCCGGGGGCUGUUUUAUAAACACGUUCCAUUUAGACAGUGGCAUCAGGGUAAGAUUCAAUUUAGUUAAAGCAGUUCUGUGACAGACCAGUAUAAUAUGGUUUAUGUUCCUAAGGAAAUGUUUUAGAGAAUCUUGAAGAUGAUUUUGUCUUGCAAGCAAUUGUCUCAUAAAACAGCUUUUGACACCUAUUGAGGAUGAGAUUCUACUCUGUGACAAGUAUUUAAUCUAGCAAACUUGUAUUUCUAGUUCUAAUCUAAACACUUGGUAGUUAUCUGCACCUUGAUAUCCCACAGGUAUCUUGGUUUCCAAAACUGCACCCAUUAUUCCCUCCAAACUGAUUUUUCCUAUGCUCUGACUGGGAAUAACAUUAUGCACCCAGUCUCAUCAAGAAAUCUUGAAGGCAUCCUAGACUUUUGUUUCUUUCCCCCCUUGUUCCUCACACUCACAAAAUAACCACAUCCUUCUGAUAGACUCUCCUUAUAUCUUGUGUCUCUAUCCUGCCUCCUAGCUUCACUGCCACUGUUUGGGUUCCUUCGGGACCUUAUUACUUGUCUGAACUACUACACUAUUGUAUUAUUGUCGUCCUUGGUCAUAGUCUGGCCCUCUGUCCCCUGAUCCAGUUUCCAUCUGAUUCACCUUUGUGCUUCUGGCAUUACCACAGCGAUUAGCACACGGCAGGCAAGUAAGGUAUUUUUGUUGGAUGAAUUCAUAUAUGGAUGAAUGAAUGUACACACACGUGGGUCUUAUGAGAGUCAUUAUUAUAAUGCUCCUUUCUGGGGCACCUGGAUGGCUCAGUUGGUUAAGCGUCAGACUCUUGAUUUCAGCUUGGGUCAUGAUCUCACAGUUGUGGGAUCAAGCCUCAUGUCGGGCUCUGUGCUAGGCAUGGAGCCUGCUUGGGAUUUUCUCUCUUUCCCUCUCUCUCUCUGUCCCUCCUCCUCUCUCUCUCUCUCUCAAAAAAAAAAAAUAUGCUCCUUUCUAAUAAUAGGAGAAUCAUAUCUACUCAUUCAUGCACCAUCAGGAUUAAGGCAAGUAUUUGUGUACAGUGGUAAGAAAUUAAAUGUUGUUUCACAGAUUCUGAGUUUUUUUUUUUCUUUAAUCUUUCCUAUGGGCAAACACUUGAGGAGGAGACCGAAGAACUCAAUUCUCACGUUAUUGUUAGAAGAAACUCCAAGAGAAGCCUAAAGAGGAGAGGAGGAGAAGGAGGUGGAGAUGAGCAGCUGUGUAUCCACCAACAGCCUGGAGGUGGGAGGUGAAGGAUUGACUCAGAAAAGCAGUCAAGAUUUAAUUAAAGACCCAGGCGUGGAGACGCUCAUGUGAGGGGAAGAAAGAAGACUCACCUGUAACUGCCUGGAACCGUGUACUAAUCAACAGAGAAGAUCUCCUGGAGGAAGACCAUUUACUUAAGUCUCUUAAGUCAUGGAGCCAUCCACCCCUUUCUCCUUAAGGGAAUAUCUCUUACUUCCUUUUGGCCAAGGGAGAAGAGGAAAGAAAAAGAAAAAGAAGAGUGAACGAUAGCUUCAAGACUAAAAUGACCACGAAAAAAGAAGAUGCUGGCUAUGCAGCAUGGAAGAAAGCCAUUGGAUGAUGUGUUUCCUCCAUUCACCUAUCCCACUUUCUCUUUCCAUUUUCACCUCAAUUGGAAGAUUGGAGAGGCUGAGCAGUAAAUUCUGAGUCCCAGCACCAGGUAAGUUUUUCUAAGAGGAAAGUAGUUUAUCUUGCUCCAUAUGAGUUUCUUGUGACUCACAGGCUGUACCAGGACUAUGGAUGAAGGUAAUAUAACUUAGAAGUUAAGAACAUGGUGACUUGGAGUAAGAUGAAUUUGAUUUGAAUUGCAGCUCUUCCACUUACUAACAAUAUUGCCUUGUUAAGUAACUAACUUUUCCGAACCUUACUUUUAUCAUUUUUAAAUGGAAAAAAAAAACCAAGAAUUAAAUGAGAUGUCUUUUAAAGAGUGUUCAGUAUUGGUUCACUAUUGAGCACUUAACAAAUUGAGCUGGUGCUCUUCGUACUACUAAUACUAUCAUUAAAAUUUUCAUAAUACUUGUUUAGUUAACUAGUAGGCAGGCUGGCAUGCUGGACUUCUGGAAGAUGAAGAGAGGGAGAACUUGCAAAAAAUAAUUAAAAACUAUUAUGCCUAAGAUUCUCAGCUUUCUACUAAAUGAUGGCUGUUGAUUACAUUGUCAUUUUAAAAUAUAACAUCAGAGCAUUACUGUAUAGAUACUACAACAUCAUAAAAUUUGGUACAUCUUGACCUUAAAUAGUGCUACACUGGCUCAAGGUAUUCUUUGACACUUACAGCAUGCAAUACCAUUCCUGAAUCCCAACCAGGGUGAUCAAAUCUACAUAUUUUAUUUUUUCAAGAAUAAAAAUACCACCAAAAAACCUUAGAGCACCACUGGGUUGGAGGAUCUAGAAAUUUCCCCUGAUAAGCAUGUAAAACAUAAAAUUCAGUGGAUGGGCAGCAGAGAGUUAUGAAACACCACCAUAGACUGUGAAAAAAUAAUAUCAGGGGAAGGCUAGCUGAUUCAUAUGACACAUUUGCUUUUUAUCAAGAUUUCCUCCGAUUAAGUAUAUGGUGAUGAUUAUUGUAAACAUCCAUUUGAUAUUGAAACAGCUGUUGGCAUCCUGAAGGAACCAGCCAUCGCUCCCUCCACACUGUGCCUUUCCUGCCCUACUGCUCUGUUUUGUUUUUGAAUCUAGACUCAUUACAUUAAUAGCUCAAAACCUUCUCAGGCGUGUUAAAAAUAGAUUGUAAGAGAAUUGAAAGCAGUGUUUUCCUCCUCCCUCCCACUCCUUUUCUCAACUGUAAUAUAAUGGCACUCCUCAGAAACAGUCCACGGAAAUCAGGAUUUUCUCAGCGGCUUGUGUGGGAAAUGGAGACUAUUGUGAGCAAGCGUUGCAGCCCACUGCUUGUCAGGAAGUGGUUUUUAGAACCAUUAAACGAACACCUUCCAUUGUCUACAGAGGUUGAAAGUCCAAUGAAAUCUCCUUAUUUCUAUUUCUAAACCAACUAGGUGACGGUUAAUACAUUUAACCCUUUCUAUUCUAGAGUCUCAGGUUUAUUGAAGGCUUUUUCUCUCAGUGAUUUUUAACCUUUUUGGAUUCCUGGACUCCUCUGAGAAUCCAGUGGGAUAGUUCACUCCUGUGUUCAUUUUGCAGGGGAUCUUUGUUCUUCCCCUGUUCCCACCCCUCAUGUGGAGUUGUUCUGUAGCCCAUCUGAGAAAUUAAUGAUCAAGGGAAAAGCUCGAAAGAAGAGAAAGCAAGACUCUCCCUUCUCCCACGGCAGUCCAUUGCAUGUUUCUCAUUUUUCUCUGCAAAUUUACUUUAAAAAAAAGGGAGGGGGCUGAGUUCUACUGACAAUAAUUUUAAAAGCUGUUAAUCAUUUUUAUAGUCUCAUUUAUUAAAGUGAUAGUUUAUAGGCUUAAUUUUUCCCUACCAUAAUAAAACUACAAAAUGAACAUAAAGGUGUAUACAAAAGAGUUAGGCCAAGAGGGUAGAGAAGGAAUAGGCUAUGUUUAACCUGGGCAUUACUGUUGUUGCACUCUCUAAACAUUUGAAGGGCAUUUGUGGAGAUGUAGCAGCCACUUAAUUAUCAUUUUAUCUUGCUUCGGAAGGAAUUUGCAGAAGAAGGUUGUUUUCUUUUUGAAACCUGUUUUGAUUAUAUUUAAGAUCCUAAGAUUUUGGUGUUUAACAAUGGAAUUGGCUGACUUAGAAGAUGAGGAGUUGGCUGUCAUGGGCAUAUUCAAGACAAGGAUGUUGCAGUAUCUGACGGGAGUAUUAUAAAAAGCAUUUCUGUUUUCUGUGGCUAGAUAACCUCUACGGCACAUUUACAUCAGAAAUUCUGCCAAGAAUUCUACCAAGAAUUUAAGUGGUCCAUAGAAAGAAAAUUUUUGAGAUGUCUUUUCUUUCAUUUUCUUUUUCCCUGUGGAAGUACACCCAAGAGAAUGGUUUUAAUUAGUGCUGAGAUGGAGUUUCGGCUUUCCAGUAUCACUUAUUUUCUGUGUGGCCUUGGAUAUCUAUAUCUAUGAUGCUCUUCCAUGAGAACUAUGUCCUCUUUUACAAUAUCUUGAACAUAAAAAAAAAUGUUGUAUUAUCCACUGGGAAUUGAUUGCUGUCGUUUAGGGAGAAUGAAACCAUAGUCUGACAUUCAAGGAAAGAGUACGUUUGAAUUAACUGUCUUAUCAAGAACUUUCUGUCAUUUUUUUUCCUCAAGCAUGUUCAUUAACUACUAUUUGAGAGUUUAUACUUAAAAUUUUGCUUUUCUCAUCUAAAACCGUAUUAUCUGCUGUUAUUUGUGUUGAAUGUAUAAGCUGUGAAUUGCCAGAUUGAGAAAAUGUGAUAACAUUUAACAUCCAGUAUUACUUUUCAAACAAACUCCUUGUGACAAAGGCUCUGCACAGUCUGGGAUUCCUUAUACUGAAAUUUUCUGACAGCCCUAACUUUGGCAUAUGUAUUAGUCAGCUCAGGCUGGCAUUACAAAAUACUAUAGAGUGGGUGGUUUAAACAAUAUCAAUUUAUUUUCUCACAGUUCUGGAGGCUAGAAGUCUGAGAUCAGGGCGUUAGCAUGGUCAGGUUAUGGUGAGAGCUCUCUUCCUGGAUUCCAGAUGUCCCCCUUCUCACUGUGCCUUCCCGUGGCCUUUCCAUAAUGCAUGUGUAUGGAGAAAGAGAAAGCGAGAAUUUUCCUCUUAUAUCUUCAGUCCUACCAGAUGAGGGUUUCACCUUUAUGACCUCAUUUAGCCUUAAUCAUCUCCUAAAAGCCCCAUCUCCAAGUACGGUCACAUUGGUGUUAGGGCUUCAACACAGAAAUUUGGGGAAGACACAAUUCACUCCGUAGUAGUAUAGCAUAUGUUUGUUCUGGACCCUGUGCAGACUUUCAGAUACAUAUAAAUGAAAGAAUGGGAAAGAAUUUCAUUAUAACAUGAUCUUACCUGUGAUCUACUCUUGUGACAUGGACUACAUAAAAUAUCCAAUAUAAUUAGGAUAGUUAAAAGUGUGUGUGUGUGUGUGUGUGUGUGUGUGUGUGUGUGUGUAAGAGAGACAGAGUCAAUAAGCAUUUUGAAACUAUUUGCUAAGUACAGUGUAUAGUCAGGGAUGAUAAUAGCUUUCCUCCCCUAUAAUAACAAACAAACAAAUACCAGACAGAUAUUUACUUUGCCCUCAGGGGGUUGGAAUUUAAUUGAGGAGCUAAGAACUAAAAACCAUCCAAAGGAAAAGUACAUUAAAAAGAAAAGCUCAUAUAUGUUAAGUACUGAGUAACUGGAUCAGAAAAGAAGUACAGUUAAUGUUCAGAGAUUCAUUGUGGUGCGAGAAGAUGAGGGAAGAUUCUGAUAUCAGAGGAUGUAUGACAUCAGAUGACAUAAGUGGAGAAGGAAGUUUAGGAUAUGGGGGUGGGGGGAUCAGAGAAGUUUCCUUAGAAGAGAUGAUGGCUCUCAUCUAGGGAAAAAAUUGGGGUAAGGGGAAGAGCAUUUCAAGCAGAGGGCACAGCACUAAAAAAGAGCACACUCAGUGUGUGUGGCAAACCACAAGCAGUUACCAUAACUGGAUGUGGAGGGUGAGGCACAGGGCGGAGAGAGAAGAGGUAGACUAGGUGCUCGGAGGUCAUAUCACUAAAGACUCUAUGGCCAUAAUUGACUCUACAGAUCAACACUGCCCCUUUCCUUUCUGUUAUCCCUGGUAGUUCAUACUGGCCUUCUCUGUCACAGGGAUUAUGGUAACAACUUCCUCUUCUAACCUCUCUCUCAUCUCCCCUCCACCCUGCUUAGAGAGCUUUCUAAAAGGCAGAUCUGAUUUUGUCCUUUCACUGCUUAAGUCCCUGGAACAAACCUACAUUCCCUAGGCCCUGCCUACUGCUUCGCUUUCAAUUCUUGCCAGAUUCUUCCUGUAACAGUCAGCUUUCUGUCCUAGCCAUACCAAAAGGCCUGCGAUUUUGUCUUGUCCAACCCUUGGUUAUGUUGCCACCACUGCCUGGAAUGACCUCCAUACCUACCUCCUUUUAACCCCCAGCUCAGAGAUCACCCUCUCCAUGAUGGCAUUCCCAACCCCCUUUGCCCCCAGGUGGAUCUGGCCAUACUCUUUUUUAUGCCUAACUUUAUCCAUAGGUGCAAAUACUAUUAUUGUAGCUUAGUAUGGAGAUGGAUACAAGAGAUGUUGAGAAAGUCAAAUCAACAAGAUUCAGUCAGAGACAGGAUGUGGAGGGAGGAAGGAUUUGGAGUCUGGAAUCACUUCUGGGUUUCUUUCAGAAUUAGAAUAUUGUAUGUCAUAGAGAAUAUAGAGCGAAGGAUUUGGAGAAGGAAAGACAAUGAUUUCCAUUUUGGUGAGGUUACAUUCAUGUUGCCUGUGGAGAUCCAAGGUGAGAUGAGCUACAGAUCAUCAGAUAUAUGUGCCUGGAAUGCAGGAAAAAGAUCUGGAGGUACACAUUUGGGAAUCAAUACACAGGCAGCAGGUAAAUCUUUAGGCAUGAGUGAGAUUAUUCAAGGUGAGACUAUAGCGUGAAAGGGGAAGAGGGAAGUGGAUGUGUGGUGACUGAGAAAGAAAGUAGGGUGGAAAAUUGCACCAUAUCAUUCUUCUUCCAUUUUCCCCAUCAUUUUGGCCCCUGGGACCACAAAGAUAACAGUGCAACUUAAUAAAAGCUCUAUAAACAGAAAAGAUAUGUUUGCUAUUCAGGCCCUUAGGCCACUCCAAGGUAAGUGAAAUGGUGAAUCUUAGAAACCUCCCUGUGAUCUAUCCUGACAAUGACAAUGGGGAAAUCUCUCUAACCUCAUCAUAUGUGAUUGUGUGUAAUACCAGUGUAUGUAUAAUUGUGUGUAAUACCAGUACAGUUAUAAUUCAAUAUUUAAAAAAUUAGUUAUAUUAAAUUAGGACUUUGAGUUUUGGAGCACUUCUGGUUAUUAGAACUUAAUGCCUUAUUUAGAAACUACUGAACAGGAAUACCUCUGAAUGUGAUUCUUAGAUAUAGCAAUUUCUUUUUCCAAGUUAAAAUGUGAACAAACACAUAGUACAUCUUACAGCAAGAGAAAAGUUAAGAGUGGACAUAUUAUUCAAAAGAUUAUCUGUUUUCGUUACCAAGAAGAAAGAAAUAUCUUUUUAGUCACAGGAAGAGAGAGUAUAGGGAAUGCAUGAUCAUAAUGUAUAGAUGAAUUAUGACAAAUGAAGGUGAUAGGAGAAUUCCCUUGAGUCAGGUGUGUGGUGAGUUAAAUCAUGCAAGCUAUCUGUGAUGGUUGACACAUGAUGAUUUGGUGCAGGCAUUUCUUAGUACUAAUAUUUUUCAUGCUCCCUCACACUUACUCAAACACUGCAGAACUUCCUUACCAGCAAUAAGAGGAGUUUUUAGCUUGCUAGAGUACUAUAUUUCACUCAGUACUGAUCAAUAGAAACAGUACCAUUUUCCGCAUCUGAGAUGUGAAAGCUGAUCUCCCUUGUCUAAGGCCCCGGGCAGGGGCCUACUUUUCUACAAUGGGUCAAUGAACAGGCGGGAGAGAGGGAGGAGGCCGCAGCUUCUCAGCUAGAACAGUUAAAUCAAUCUUGGCAAAUCAAGUAACAUGCCUCAACCAGGCUACUCUUAUCUCCAUGUGGUCAAUUAGAGAAAAAUCUCAUGAGGAAAGAGAAGAAAAAAAAAGAAUGAUGUAAUUUCUUUUCUAGCCUCCUUGGCAUGAUUCAUAUGAAUAUUCAUUAUUACACAUGGGAGGUAUAUAUAUUAUCAGAUCUGGGCUUAAAUAUAGAGGCACCUUUGUAAGGAAAGAAUAAUUCAACAUAAACUUUGUAUUUGUCUUAAGGAGGCAUGAAAUAUUCAGAGCUCAUAUAAAUUUGGGACAUAGGCAUAUGCCACACUGUUUUCAAAUGUUUAUUUUCUGCUCUAUUCCCAUAAUUGUCUAAUUUUGGCAGUAACUAUUUUUGUCUUAAAGUGAAAACAUGCUUUUGAUACAAGUAAGAAAAUUAUGUGCGGUAACUUCAAGUUAAUUUUAUAGUAAGAAAUAUGUAUUAGCAUUAGGUAAUAUAAUUAAUUUUUAUGAUUUUAUUUUUUAACUAGAAGUCUUUAAGAAGGCUAUGCUUUUGUCUUCAUUGCACUACUUAGUUAUUUUUAUAAAAACAAAGAUUUUCCACGUCACCUUUUCAAAUGUCUUAGGAAAAGAAAUUUUCAAAAGGAUUUUAAAGCAUUGACAAAUAUGUGGCAAAUUUUAUUUUAAGCAUAUUUUCAAAAUAUCUAUUUUACUGAUGAAUAAAUAGGAGAUAUUUAAAUGACAUUUCAAAGUUAAACUAGAACUAGAAAGAAAACUGGGACAUACUUUUAAGUUCUCUUUAACCCUGACCUAUCCUACUACAGACCUAUAUGUGAGCUCUGCUUGGAUGUCUAGUGUCUCUAUUUAAUAUGUUACAAGUGGAACCUAUCAUUAUUUUCUCCCAAACCUACUCCUUCACUACUCUUCUUCAUCUUGGACUGUGGUAUUACCAUUCAUCCAAUAACUUAGGCCAAAAUCUUGGAUUCAUCUUUUAUUUUCCUUCCUUCAUUUAUCCAUCUUUCAGCAAAUCCUGUUAGUUCUACUUCUAAAUAUGUAAAUAGAAUUUUUUGAUAUUCCAUUGCAUUCAACCUAGUGUAGGGCACCAACACCUCUCAUUGAGAUCAUUGCAGUAACCUCCAAAAGUCAAGUGUGUGCUAAGUUCAAUAAUUCAAGCUAUCUCAUUGUUAUUUUUGCCCUUCUACAAUCUAUUUUCCACUCAGUGGCCAAGUAGUAUUUCCUGAAACAAACAAACUCAGAACCAGUCACUGAUCCAUGUAAAAGUCUCUGCCUUUAGAAGAAGUCUUCUUAACCUGGCCUAUACACCCUGCAUGAUCUGUCCUCUACUUUUCCCCUCUAGCUCUGUCUCUUCUAUUCUCCCAGGAGUACAAGUACUUUCUUUUUUUAAAAAUUUUUUAAGUUUAUUUAUUAUUUUGAGACAAAGAUAGAGUGUAAGUGGGGGAGAGGCAGAGACAGCAGGAGAGAGAGAGA